ACGCUCGACACCUACGGGAGGCAGCAGUGAGGAAUAUUGGUCAAUGGACGCAAGUCUGAACCAGCCAUGCCGCGUGCAGGAUGGCGGCUCUAUGAGUUGUAAACUGCUUUUGUACGAGGGUAAACGCAGAUACGUGUAUCUGUCUGAAAGUAUCGUACGAAUAAGGAUCGGCUAACUCCGUGUCAGCAGCCGCGGUAAUCUGAGCGGGCUGGCAAGGC
Molecule: ribosomal RNA, 218 nt
Filed under: uncultured bacterium
Lineage: Bacteria
Description: partial 16S ribosomal RNA
Rfam family: Bacterial small subunit ribosomal RNA
Source: RNAcentral